AUUGAACGCUGGCGGCAGGCCUAACACAUGCAAGUCGAGCGGAUGAAGGGAGCUUGCUCCUGGAUUCAGCGGCGGACGGGUGAGUAAUGCCUAGGAAUCUGCCUGGUAGUGGGGGAUAACGUCCGGAAACGGGCGCUAAAACCCCAAACGUCCUGAGGGCAAAAGGGGGGGAGUUUGGAACUUCCGGCUUUCGGUGAGGCCAAGGUGGGAUUAGCUAGUUGUGGGGGUAAAGGCCUACCAAGGCGCGGAUCCGUAACUGGUCUGAGAGGAGGAUCAGUCACACUGGAACUGAGACACGGUCCAGACUCCUACGGGAGGCAGCAGUGGGGAAUAUUGGACAAUGGGCGAAAGCCUGAUCCAGCCAUGCCGCGUGUGUGAAGAAGGUCUUCGGAUUGUAAAGCACUUUAAGUUGGGAGGAAGGGCAGUAAGUUAAUACCUUGCUGUUUUGACGUUACCAACAGAAUAAGCACCGGCUAACUUCGUG
This 484-nucleotide ribosomal RNA is filed under the name uncultured bacterium. RNAcentral's name for it is "partial 16S ribosomal RNA". It matches the Rfam family "Bacterial small subunit ribosomal RNA", at positions 30 to 507 of the family's 1533-position model. The record is from RNAcentral.